GGGGCCAUAGCUCAGUUGGAAGAGCGUUCGGUUUGCAUCCGAAAGGUCGCGGGUUCGAGUCCCGCUGGCUCCA
RNAcentral lists this transfer RNA (73 nucleotides) under Actinomycetota bacterium. RNAcentral's name for it is "tRNA-Ala". It matches the Rfam family "tRNA". Rfam says of the family: Transfer RNA (tRNA) molecules are approximately 80 nucleotides in length. Their secondary structure includes four short double-helical elements and three loops (D, anti-codon, and T loops). Lineage: Bacteria; Bacillati; Actinomycetota. The record is from RNAcentral. RNAcentral also lists the same sequence under 1 other name.